Long non-coding RNA from Lycium barbarum (goji berry), 2044 nucleotides. RefSeq lists it as uncharacterized. The record is from RefSeq and is a predicted model, not a curated record. The transcript has 4 exons. NCBI's taxonomy places the organism in Eukaryota, Viridiplantae, Streptophyta, Magnoliopsida, Solanales, Solanaceae.
UUACAAGAUCUCGUACAGGUAUUGAAUUGUGGGAGCAGUCUCCUCUUAACUCCAGAGAGAUCGUGCUCAGCAUUCCGUGCAGCCAUGAGUUGCGUAUUCGAAAACCACGACAUAUUAACUGCAAUAUUUACACCAACAUAGUUAUAUAUCAAGAACUAAUUAUGAGUGAUGCAACAUGAAAAAUACACAUCCAACUAGUUAAAUAUUUGCUCUGCCUUCUUCUCUCGUUCUCUGGAUUUACACCGUGUUUAUCCUAAGUGCUUUUUUUUUUUUUUCUUUUCGAUUUCAUGUUGUUUUCUUAUAUUGCUUGAUGUAAUUUGAGUGUUUUGGUUUAAUUUUGUUAUUGUUUUUUUAUGUUAAUUGUUGUUGAUGAAUAUUUGCCCUCUCCAUCACUUAUAUUCUCUUGCUCCAUUCUUAUUUUUCUAAUAUGGCACUGGCGAAGCACAAGGUCUUCGAGGGCACAAUAAUCUUUGUGCUAAGCAUUUCUAAUCAAUUGCCUCCACAGCUCAGUGAGGGCGGGUUUUGUGAUUCGGCAAGGUGCGCAGGCAAGUUCUUCUGUUUUUUCCUGUGCUAUUCACUUUUUCAAAGAAUGAGUUCUAUAUUUUGCUGGGUGUAUAUUAGUGCAAUAUUCUUUUUGGUGAUUAUAGUUAGCUUUUCCUAUUUUUUUGGGUAAUUUUUUUUUUUCCUAUUGCAUGUUAGGAAUUUUAUUUGAUUUGCUCACGCAUGUUUGGAGACAUUUUGGAUAAUUGGCUAAAAAUCUUUUAUCCUCAUGGAUAUUGAAGAAUUGCUGAUGUGACAAUAUGUUCGGUGAUAUGCCUGACCCGAAAAAGAAUUAGAGACAACAUGGCUAAUUAGGCUUAGUGGGGGAGAGAGUAUACAGAAGGAAACACUCCAAAUUAUGGUAUUAUGAUGAAUAGCUAGCCAAGAAGGCUGAUAUGUCUUAAGGUAUGACUUGGGAAUCAUCUCCCGACCCCUAUGGGUUUGCUAAUAGCUGCUCAAGUUAAACUUCACUUUUGCACUCAACUAACUAUUUGCUUAAGCUAAAUUUAAUUGUGAAUUUUAGCCAAUCUCUUUGAACACAAACAUGGUGCUAGCACCUCCAAGGACACAAAUGGAGAUGGGACAAGCCUUAAAAGUAUUAGAAUUUUCUGUUGUUGUUCAGGUUUGUUUCAUGGCAUGCAAAAUUCCUGUUAUUUAUGAAAUGGUGGAUAUUAUUCGUUGUUGAUGUUCUUCCUACUAAAAGCUUUCCUUAUAAAAAUUGCAAGUUUUCACUUGUAGCAAGUGUACCAUAUAAUAUACUUGACCAAAGAUAAAAAGGGUAAAACAAAAAUAUCAGUCACAAUUUUGUCUGUCGUGAGUUGCCAGCUGUCUAUGGAUGUGUAGUGCGUUGUUUGUAGUUUUCUCUGUUCACUAAGGAGUAUUUAGGUUAUUUUAGACGAAGGGAAUAAUGAUGGUGCUCCUGGAUUACUGUGGUUAAUUUUGAUUGCAGCUUUGGGAUGAUGGAGAGCCACAAGAUACAAGGGAGAAUCAUUUGGAAGAAAACUGCUCGCACAUAUGGUUCUUUUACUGUAUAAGGUUUAUGAGACGAGGACAUUUUGACAGAUGAUCGGGAGGAGGUGCAAUGUUGAAGGGAUUCAUUUAGUGAAGCAGGCAAAAUAGUAUAAUAUAAUUUGCCAAGUGAUCACAGUGGGAUGAUGACCUAACAACAUUGGAUGUUCGCAAGUUUAAGCCUAUUCAUAACUGCAAGUUCAAUUACGAGUGGAUACCCAGCUGAAAUACGUGUUGUCAACCGCAGCGGCUAAAAUCCAGAUUUCAUGCAAUUGUAACAUAGUUCAUACAUAAGAUGGUGGACCACCUACAUGAUCAUGAACAAUCUCACUGUUUUUGUCUUCGUAGCAAGUUCAACAAUGUACUUGUAUAACUUUGUUCCCCAAAUGAAUGUACAUAGUAUGAAGCAUAUCAUGUUAAUAUUUUGUUUAAUGACAUUUCUUCAUUUGGAUAAUUUCACUACACAAUGGAACCACCGUGAAAUUACCUUCCCCAA